CAUAUCCUACGGGACGCAGCAGUAGGGAAUUUUCGUCAAUGGGCGCAAGCCUGAACGAGCAAUGCCGCGUGAACGAGGAAGGUCUUCGGAUCGUAAAGUUCUGUUGAAGGGGAAAAAGAGCGGAGAGAGGAAAUGAACUCCGAUUGAUAUUACCCUUCGAGGAAGUCACGGCUAACUACGUGCCAGCAGCCGCGGUAAUACGUAGGUGGCGAGCGUUAUCCGGAAUGAUUGGGCGUAAAGGGUGCGUAGGCGGCCUGCUAAGUCUGGAGUGAAAAGUACCGGCUCAACCGGUACAGGCUCUGGAA
This 305-nucleotide ribosomal RNA is filed under the name uncultured bacterium. RNAcentral's name for it is "bacterial SSU rRNA". It matches the Rfam family "Bacterial small subunit ribosomal RNA", at positions 333 to 631 of the family's 1533-position model. The record is from RNAcentral.